GACGAACGCUGGCGGCGUGCUUAACACAUGCAAGUCGAACGGAAAGGCCUCUUUCGGGGGGUACUCGAGUGGCGAACGGGUGAGUAACACGUGAGUAACCUGCCCUUGACUUUGGGAUAACUUCAGGAAACUGGGGCUAAUACCGGAUAGGAGCUCCUGCUGCAUGAUGGGGGUUGGAAAGUUUCGGCGGUUGGGGAUGGACUCGCGGCUUAUCAGCUUGUUGGUGGGGUAGUGGCUUACCAAGGCUUUGACGGGUAGCCGGCCUGAGAGGGUGACCGGCCACAUUGGGACUGAGAUACGGCCCAGACUGCUACGGGAGGCAGCAGUGGGGAAUAUUGCACAAUGGGUGGAAGCCUGAUGCAGCAACGCCGUGUGCGGGAUGACGGCCUUCGGGCUGUAAACCGCUUUCGCUCAUGACGAAGCUUUGUGUGACGGUAGUGGGUAAAGAAGCACCGGCUAACUACGU
This 466-nucleotide ribosomal RNA is filed under the name uncultured bacterium. Its description in RNAcentral is "partial 16S ribosomal RNA". It matches the Rfam family "Bacterial small subunit ribosomal RNA", at positions 28 to 506 of the family's 1533-position model. The record is from RNAcentral.